UUGCGUGUUAUUGAUCCCGUUUGAAGCUUUUGCUGAAGUUUUUUAAUGGUUACCGGUGAGAGAUACUGUUCGUAGAUGUUUCAACGAAUGUUGAGCGGAUAAUCAGAAUUUUCCUGUUAUUCGAGGUUCCGAUCUUGUAUCAGUGGGUAUUUUGGGUAAUUUUUCGGCAUCCCUGGCUUUAUUCCGACGAGUUCUUCAAAUUCUAGGGUUUUCCGAUUUUCGGACCUAGAGAUUUGAUGUUAUCC
Molecule: long non-coding RNA, 245 nt
Filed under: Nicotiana benthamiana
Lineage: Eukaryota; Viridiplantae; Streptophyta; Magnoliopsida; Solanales; Solanaceae
Description: long non-coding RNA (NBEN_LNC010385)
Source: RNAcentral